GACGAACGCUGGCGGCGUGCUCAACACAUGCAAGUCGAACGGAAAGGCCCUGCUUUUGUGGGGUGCUUGAGUGGCGAACGGGUGAGUAACACGUGAGUAACCUGCCCUUGACUUUGGGAUAACUUCAGGAAACUGGGGCUAAUACCGGAUAGGAGCUCCUGCUGCAUGGUGGGGGUUGGAAAGUUUCGGCGGUUGGGGAUGGACUCGCGGCUUAUCAGCUUGUUGGUGGGGUAGUGGCUUACCAAGGCUUUGACGGGUAGCCGGCCUGAGAGGGUGACCGGCCACAUUGGGACUGAGAUACGGCCCAGACUCCUACGGGAGGCAGCAGUGGGGAAUAUUGCACAAUGGGCGGAAGCCUGAUGCAGCAACGCCGCGUGCGGGAUGACGGCCUUCGGGUUGUAAACCGCUUUCGCCUGUGACGAAGCGUGAGUGACGGUAAUGGGUAAAGAAGCACCGGCUAACUACGUG
Molecule: ribosomal RNA, 468 nt
Filed under: uncultured bacterium
Lineage: Bacteria
Description: partial 16S ribosomal RNA
Rfam family: Bacterial small subunit ribosomal RNA
Source: RNAcentral